UAAGGAAUAUUGGUCAAUGGGCGGAAGCCUGAACCAGCCAUCCCGCGUGCAGGAUGAAUGCCCUAUGGGUUGUAAACUGCUUUUAUCUGGGAAUAAACCACUCUAUUUAUGGGGUGUUGAAGGUACCAGAAGAAUAAGCACCGGCUAACUCCGUGCCAGCAGCCGCGGUAAUACGGAGGGUGCAAGCGUUAUCCGGAAUCACUGGGUUUAAAGGGUGCGUAGGCGGCUGUAUAAGUCAGAGGUGAAAGGC
Molecule: ribosomal RNA, 250 nt
Filed under: uncultured bacterium
Lineage: Bacteria
Description: partial 16S ribosomal RNA
Rfam family: Bacterial small subunit ribosomal RNA
Source: RNAcentral